Molecule: small nuclear RNA, 107 nt
Organism: Diceros bicornis minor
Lineage: Eukaryota; Metazoa; Chordata; Mammalia; Perissodactyla; Rhinocerotidae
Source: RefSeq, a predicted model, not a curated record
GUACUUACUUUAGCAGCACAUAUACUAAAUUUGGAACCAUACAGAGAAGAUUAGCAUGGCCCCUGCACAAGGAUGGCAUGUAAAUUUGUGAAGCAUUCCAUACUAAA